RNA transcript from Hemicordylus capensis (graceful crag lizard), 1393 nucleotides. It is a transcript of the gene named prostaglandin reductase 1, with no coding region annotated. The record is from RefSeq and is a predicted model, not a curated record. The transcript is spliced from 11 exons. Lineage: Eukaryota; Metazoa; Chordata; Lepidosauria; Squamata; Cordylidae.
CCAGUCCCCUCUCCAGAUUCAAAGCUCUGCAGAGAAGAAGGAAAGCGGAGCAACUUGCCUUGUUGUAUUGGGUGGUGGAAGUCAGCCUUCUCAAGCAUUUGCACAGGCAGUGGAAGAUGGGGCGUGCAAAGUCUUGGAUCCUGAAGAAGUACUUUGAUGGGUUCCCUAAACUGAGUGAUUUUGAACUGAAAGAGGUAGACCUACCAAAGCUGAAGGAUGGAGAGGUGCUGCUUGAAAGUGUGUUCUUCAGUGUCGACCCUUAUUUGAGACCAUACAGUAAGCUGUAUAUGAAAGAAGGGGAUGUAAUAAUUGGCUCCCAAGUUGCCAAGGUUGUGGAAAGCAAGAAUCCCACAUACCCAGUAGGAGUCUUUGUCGUGUCCAAUUCAGGCUGGAGAACUCAUUUCAUUUCUGAUGGCCAAGGUCUAUUCCUGAUGUCUCCCGACUGGCCAGCAAAGCUUUCCAGAUCUCUGGCUCUUGGGACAAUUGGCAUGCCUGGGCUGACCGCAUAUUUCGCCCUGUUGGAGAUCUGCAGGAUAAAACCAGGAGAGACGGUGUUGAUUAAUGCAGCGGCUGGCGCUGUGGGCAGUGUUGCUGGGCAGAUUGCAAAAAUACAUGGUUGCAAAGUGGUUGGCUGUGCAGGUUCUGAAGAAAAAGUGGCCUACCUCAAGGAACUGGGCUUUGAUGAAGUCUUUAAUUAUAAGACCGUGAAGUCCCUGAAAGAAGCCUUGCAAAAAGCUUCCCCUGAUGGCUAUGACUGCUAUUUCGAUAACGUGGGAGGAGAGUUUUCGAGUGUUGCUUUGGAACAAAUGAAAAAAUUCGGCAGAAUAGCUGUGUGUGGGGCAAUCUCCUUGUACAAUGACACAGUACCCCAAAAAGGACCAUAUAUCCAGAUGACCAUGAUCCUUAAAGAGCUGCGCAUGGAAGGGUUUGUGGUCUCACGUUGGGCCAACAGGAAAGACGAAGGUCUGAAAGCACUGUUGAAAUGGGUUGAAGAGCAGCCAUCAUAGAGUCCUGUGCCAGAAAGGCCAAGCAGAGCGGAGCUGCAGCAGUUCUGAUGGUUGCCUCUCCGCUGCUUGCAUGGUGCAGUGUGGGAUACUAGAGGACCCAGCCUGGGUUUGUUUAUAUUCCUGAAGUGCGCAGCAGGUGAUGGUAACCUGAUCAUGUGGAGGUUGGGCAGACUCAUGAGGGUGCACUACUUAAGGCCUCCCUGUCGUCACAGGCCACACUGGCAGCAGGCUGUAAAGUGCCACACAGAAGCAGCAAGCGUGCCUAUCGCUUAGACAGGUGGCUUCCUGCACGGUAUGUAAGCCAUUCCAUUUUAAUCCUUGAACCUGUGGCUUAAAACCUGAAUGAGUGUCUUCCACCCCUCUCCCACCUUGAAAUUUUAAUAUAA